GACGAACGCUGGCGGCGUGCUUAACACAUGCAAGUCGAACGCUGAAGCUCAGCUUUUGUUGGGUGGAUGAGUGGCGAACGGGUGAGUAACACGUGAGUAACCUGCCCUCUUCUUUGGGAUAACGCCCGGAAACGGGUGCUAAUACUGGAUAUUCACUGGUCCCUGCAUGGGGGUUGGUGGAAAGGGUUUUUUCUGGUGGGGGAUGGGCUCGCGGCCUAUCAGCUUGUUGGUGGGGUGAUGGCCUACCAAGGCUUUGACGGGUAGCCGGCCUGAGAGGGUGACCGGUCACAUUGGGACUGAGAUACGGCCCAGACUCCUACGGGAGGCAGCAGUGGGGAAUAUUGCACAAUGGGCGAAAGCCUGAUGCAGCGACGCCGCGUGAGGGAUGGAGGCCUUCGGGUUGUAAACCUCUUUCGCUCAUGGUCAAGCCGCAACUGUGGGUUGUGGUGAGGGUAGUGGGUAAAGAAGCGCCGGCUAACUACGUGCCAGCAGCCGCGGUAAUACGUAGGGCGCGAGCGUUGUCCGGAAUUAUUGGGCGUAAAGGGCUUGUAGGCGGUUGGUCGCGUCUGCCGUGAAAUCCUCUAGCUUAACUGGGGGCGUGCGGUGGGUACGGGCUGACUUGAGUGCGGUAGGGGAGACUGGAACUCCUGGUGUAGCGGUGGAAUGCGCAGAUAUCAGGAAGAACACCGGUGGCGAAGGCGGGUCUCUGGGCCGUUACUGACGCUGAGGAGCGAAAGCGUGGGGAGCGAACAGG
This 754-nucleotide ribosomal RNA is filed under the name uncultured Actinomyces sp. RNAcentral describes it as "bacterial SSU rRNA". It matches the Rfam family "Bacterial small subunit ribosomal RNA", at positions 28 to 776 of the family's 1533-position model. The record is from RNAcentral. Lineage: Bacteria; Bacillati; Actinomycetota; Actinomycetes; Actinomycetales; Actinomycetaceae.